GAUGGGUGUUGAGCUUGAACGCUUUCUUAAUUGGUGGCUGCUUUUAGGCCUACUAUGGGUAUUAAAUUUUUUACUCUCUUUACAAGGUUUUUUCCUAGUGUCCAAAGAGCUGUUCCUCUUUGGACUAACAGUUAAAUUUACAAGGGGAUUUAGAAGGUUCUGUAGCUGUUCUUAGGUAGCUCGUCUGGUUUCGGGGGCCUUAGCUUUGGUUCUCUUUGCAAAGUUAUUUCUAGUUAAUUCAUUAUGCAAAAGGUACAGGGGUUAGUCCUUGCUGUAUUAUGCUUGGUUAUAAUUUUUCAUCUUUCCCUUGCGGUACUAUAUCUAUUGCGCCGGUUUACAAUUUCUAUCGCCUAUACUUUAUUUGGGUAAAUGGUUUGGUUAAGG
This 384-nucleotide long non-coding RNA is filed under the name Homo sapiens (human). Its description in RNAcentral is "non-protein coding lnc-EPHA6-1:4". Lineage: Eukaryota; Metazoa; Chordata; Mammalia; Primates; Hominidae. The record is from RNAcentral.